RNAcentral lists this ribosomal RNA (253 nucleotides) under uncultured bacterium. RNAcentral describes it as "partial 16S ribosomal RNA". It matches the Rfam family "Bacterial small subunit ribosomal RNA", at positions 524 to 776 of the family's 1533-position model. The record is from RNAcentral.
UACGUAGGGAGCAAGCGUUGUCCGGAAUCAUUGGGCGUAAAGCGCGCGUAGGUGGCCUCGUAAGUCCGCUGUGAAAGUCAAAGGCUCAACCUUUGAAUGUCAGCGGAUACUGCCGGGCUAGAGUCCGGAAGAGGCGAGUGGAACUCCUGGUGUAGCGGUGGAAUGCGCAGAUAUCAGGAAGAACACCAACGGCGAAGGCAGCUCGCUGGGACGGAACUGACGCUGAGGCGCGAAAGCGUGGGGAGCGAACAGG